RNAcentral lists this long non-coding RNA (425 nucleotides) under Actinia tenebrosa (Australian red waratah sea anemone). Its description in RNAcentral is "uncharacterized LOC116294096, transcript variant X4". The record is from RNAcentral. Lineage: Eukaryota; Metazoa; Cnidaria; Anthozoa; Actiniaria; Actiniidae.
GAACAUAGUCAAUCAUUGACUUGAAGUUAUUGUUAGCGAUAAUCAUGUGACUGAGCAUGCGCGUUUCUUUUCAUUAUUUCACUUUAUAACGGUAUACUGCAAUUGCGCAGUUUCUAUUCACCGAAGACUUGCUAACCAGAACUUGAAAUUUUGGAAGCGAUUUGAGUAACAAAUAUGCCAGGCGAUAACCGUCAGAACAAGGAGAAUGAUGCUCCAAAUGAUGGUAACGGAGAAGUAUUAGCAGCUUUAGGAAUAGUGGCGGGACUUGCGGUGGGAGUCCUCGUGUAUAUUUUUAGAGGAUAAGUAAAGGUUACAUGUUUUAUCAAUGAAGAGAGCACUGAUGGACUAGUAUUGCACGAGUAGUAUUGCACGAUGUACACCGAAGGAGCUUUGCGCAAGAAGGAGAAAGGAAGAAAGAGAGAGAC